RNAcentral lists this transfer RNA (86 nucleotides) under Candidatus Jidaibacter acanthamoebae. RNAcentral describes it as "Candidatus Jidaibacter acanthamoeba tRNA-Leu". It matches the Rfam family "tRNA". Rfam says of the family: Transfer RNA (tRNA) molecules are approximately 80 nucleotides in length. Their secondary structure includes four short double-helical elements and three loops (D, anti-codon, and T loops). Lineage: Bacteria; Pseudomonadati; Pseudomonadota; Alphaproteobacteria; Rickettsiales; Candidatus Midichloriaceae. The record is from RNAcentral.
GCCCCUGUGGUGGAAUGGUAGACGCGGUAGACUCAAAAUCUAUUGUCCUUCAGGACAUGCUGGUUCAAGUCCGGCCAGGGGCACCA